AGGGAAUCUUCGGCAAUGGGGGCAACCCUGACCGAGCAACGCCGCGUGAGUGAAGAAGGUUUUCGGAUCGUAAAGCUCUGUUGUAAGUCAAGAACGGGUGUGAGAGUGGAAAGUUCACACUGUGACGGUAGCUUACCAGAAAGGGACGGCUAACUACGUGCCAGCAGCCGCGGUAAUACGUAGGUCCCGAGCGUUGUCCGGAUUUAUUGGGCGUAAAGCGAGCGCAGGCGGUUUGAUAAGUCUGAAGUUAAAGGCUGUGGCUCAACCAUAGUUCGCUUUGGAAACUGUCAAACUUGAGUGCAGAAGGGGAGAGUGGAAUUCCAUGUGUAGCAGUGAAAUGCGUAGAUAUAUGGAGGAACACCGGUGGCGAAAGCGGCUCUCUGGUCUGUAACUGACGCUGAGGCUCGAAAGCGUGGGGAGCGAACAGGAUUAGAUACCCUGGUAGUCCACGCCGUAAACGAUGAGUGCUAGGUGUUGGAUCCUUUCCGGGAUUCAGUGCCGCAGCUAACGCAUUAAGCACUCCGCCUGGGGAGUACGACCGCAAGGUUGAAACUCAAAGGAAUUGACGGGGGCCCGCACAAGCGGUGGAGCAUGUGGUUUAAUUCGAAGCAACGCGAAGAACCUUACCAGGUCUUGACAUCCCGAUGCUAUUUCUAGAGAUAGAAAGUUACUUCGGUACAUCGGUGACAGGUGGUGCAUGGUUGUCGUCAGCUCGUGUCGUGAGAUGUUGGGUUAAGUCCCGCAACGAGCGCAACCCCUAUUGUUAGUUGCCAUCAUUCAGUUGGGCACUCUAGCGAGACUGCCGGUAAUAAACCGGAGGAAGGUGGGGAUGACGUCAAAUCAUCAUGCCCCUUAUGACCUGGGCUACACACGUGCUACAAUGGUUGGUACAACGAGUUGCGAGUCGGUGACGGCGAGCUAAUCUCUUAAAGCCAAUCUCAGUUCGGAUUGUAGGCUGCAACUCGCCUACAUGAAGUCGGAAUCGCUAGUAAUCGCGGAUCAGCACGCCGCGGUGAAUACGUUCCC
RNAcentral lists this ribosomal RNA (1026 nucleotides) under uncultured bacterium. RNAcentral's name for it is "bacterial SSU rRNA". It matches the Rfam family "Bacterial small subunit ribosomal RNA", at positions 356 to 1375 of the family's 1533-position model. The record is from RNAcentral.